RNAcentral lists this ribosomal RNA (562 nucleotides) under uncultured organism. RNAcentral describes it as "bacterial SSU rRNA". It matches the Rfam family "Bacterial small subunit ribosomal RNA", at positions 51 to 610 of the family's 1533-position model. The record is from RNAcentral.
AUACAUGCAAGUCGAACGGUAAGUUAGUUGCUUGCAACUAACACGAGUGGCGCACGGGUGAGUAACGCGUACGCGACCUGCCCUCAAGAGGGAAAUAGCCCUGGGAAACCGGGAUUAAUGUCCCAUGUGAUUGUAUUUCUAAGGGAUAUAAUUAAAGGAGCGAUCCGCUUGAGGAUGGGCGUGCGUGCUAUUAGCUAGUUGGUGAGGUAAUGGCUCACCAAGGCGACGAUAGCUAGGGGGCGUGAGAGCGUGACCCCCCACACGGGUACUGAGACACGGACCCGACUCCUACGGGAGGCAGCAGUAAGGAAUAUUGGACAAUGGGGCAACCCUGAUCCAGCCAUCCCGCGUGCAGGAAGACGGCCCUAUGGGUUGUAAACUGCUUUUAUUACGGAAGAAUAGCAUCAAUGAAUUGGUGUAUGACGGUACCUAAAGAAUAAGCACCGGCUAACUCCGUGCCAGCAGCCGCGGUAAUACGGAGGGUGCAAGCGUUAUCCGGAAUCACUGGGUAUAACAGGGUGCGUAGGUGGAAUAAUAAGUCAGGCGUGAAAGGUUACAGCUU